CAAAGAACUGAGAGGGAGAAAACGGAAUCGCUUCUCUACCUCCCCCUCUCAUUGUAAGCUUUCUUUCUCUCUCCACCUUCUUUGCUUCAACUUAGCACAGAAGAGAGAGAACUAGGAAGUAAGACGCUUGUCCAAUCUAUCUGUUCGGCCACCAUAUAUUCAUGUUAGCAAUCUGUGAACCUCUCUUUUCCUUUGUGCACGGUCGGGUUUGAGUUUGCUCCCAUAAUUUUUGUUGCUAUUUUUUUUUUUUUUUUUGUGGUUGGUGGUGCCGUUAUUGUUGAAGAUGAUGGUUGCAAACAUCUUCGAUCUGUGGCAAAAGGACGCCUUCUUUUCUGCCGCCGAGGAGGUUCAAGAAUCUGCUGAUGUAAUGGAAUCAGCAUACAGGACAUGGGUAAGAGAGAGGCGAGAAAUGCUAUCACCAGAGGAUUCGGAUAAACUCUGUACAGAGUUGCAAACUGCUUUAGGUACUUCCAAAUGGCAGUUAGAAGAAUUUGAGAGGGCUGUCAGGUUGAGCUAUGGGCUUCGUGGUGAUGACAAUACAACAGCGAGGCAUAGACAAUUUAUUGCUGUCAUCCAAGACCAAAUAUCACGUGUUGAAGCAUCAUUAAAGGAAUAUUUUAAUGAGGAAGGAAAGACCUUUCAAUGGGUGAAUCUGGAUGAAAAUGAACGUGAUGAGUUAGCCACGUUUCUCUCCGGCACCUCCCAAAGCUUGCAAAGCGCAAUUGAUGAAUGUCUACAGCACAAACAUUCAAUGGAAAGCUCUCUUUUGGAGAACCAUGCUCAGAGAAAAGAUGCAGACCUUAAUUUGAAUGCUUCCUGUAACAGAGGUUUUUCUGAUAGAGGGAAAGGUUCUAGAGAUGUUAGAAGUAUUAGUAAGGAUGGAAAUCAUGUCACAAAGAUAGAAGCAAAUCAAAUUCAUGGAAGGACCGAUGAUAUCAUUUUUCAAGCAGAUAGAACAACUAAUAAUGCAAGGAGGACAUGGAGUUUGCCAAAUUUUGGUGAAUUGAAAAUCAUAAUUCCUGAUGAAGAAGAACCGAUGAACAAACUAAUGCCAAGCAUUGAGGACACACCUAAAGUAAAAGGCUCCAGAUCUGUCUUUUGGAAGCAAAGCGGUAGGAAGUUUCCUCCGGGGCCGGGAGCGGUUAAUUUUUUCAGUCAGCUCUUUGGUUGGGUUGGUGGGUUCCAGAGACAAUUGCAAAGUCCACUAUACUUAUCGCUCCGUUCUUCUGUUCAAGUUACACUUGUUUUGAUGCUGACUAUUUUUUUUAUUGUACCUUUUGUAUUUUAUUCAGCUUGAUCGAGUGGGAUUUUAUGACACGCCAUCAAGACAAUAGGCAUUGAAGCUGUUAAUAAAGCAAGGGAAGUUUGAAAGGCCGGUGCUGCGUUUGGAUGUUGAACUGAGUUGAAUUGAGUUGAGAUGAUAAAAUAUUGUUAGAAUAUUA
Juglans microcarpa x Juglans regia is the source of this 1442-nucleotide RNA transcript. RefSeq lists it as uncharacterized. NCBI's taxonomy places the organism in Eukaryota, Viridiplantae, Streptophyta, Magnoliopsida, Fagales, Juglandaceae. The transcript is spliced from 8 exons. The record is from RefSeq and is a predicted model, not a curated record.